UUAUUGAUUCAGUCUCCUAACUGGUAAUCAGUCUGUUCAGUUUGCUAUUUCCUCAUGAUUCAGUCUUGGUAGGUUGUAUGUUUCUUGGAAUUUGUCCAUUGCUUCUAGGUUGUUCAAUUUGUUGGUAUAUACUUGUUCAUAGUAGUCUUUUAUGAUCCUUUGUAUUCCUGUGAUAGCAGUCUCAGAUCGGA
This is a non-coding RNA of Vicugna pacos (alpaca), 191 nucleotides long. The record is from RefSeq and is a predicted model, not a curated record. NCBI's taxonomy places the organism in Eukaryota, Metazoa, Chordata, Mammalia, Artiodactyla, Camelidae.